GACCUAGGAAAAUAGGAAAACCGCCUGAGAAUCAAAUGCUGUAUUUUUUCUCUCCCUUUUCCACAGCAGGAGUCAAUGAAUUUGAAGCGUGCAGACUGAUGGCCAAAAGUCAUGGUGCCUCUCUCAGCAAGGGAGAAGCUACCCUUCUAUCUAAUGUAGUUGUUAAGCGCUUGAUCCUGCUGGAGGAAGAGAGUGAAAUAAAUGGCUGCAGGAGUUUUUCAGUGUCAUAUUUUUUGUUGUUGCUCACUGAGAUGAGCAAAGGAGAGUUUCCAUCCAGGAAAGCACCAAGGUGCAGCAAGGAGAGGUUACUUCAACUACAUGAAGGCAACAGCUUUGCAGAUGUGCUCUGGAUCAAAUCCAUAGCUCAGGAGGAAAAUGCUUAACACCAUCUUCCUCUACAUAUCCCUGCAGCACCUAGGACCUAGAGAUUUCUGCUGCAAGUACAUGAACUGCAAUGGAGCGAGAUGUCUUUUAGAAAACCUUGAAUUGCUUCAUGCAGAUUAGAGAAGAUUUAACUGGAAGGAUGGAGAGACUUGUAGCCAAAAUGUUUAACACACUGAGCAAUCUUCAGAUCCAAGAUAAAUGCCAUGUCUACUUGAUCAUGGGUACCAGGAACGUGCGCCAGCUGCUGUGAUUUCCAAGAGGGCUGAUUUUGGUGCUUAACUCCAGGAGAGCUACAGCCUGACCCAGCACGCUACUGAUGCAGAUCCAAGCAUAAGUUAUUCAGCGUUUGGAUGUGCAGUGCAUCGUGCACCGUUGUCACCAGUUUCGAGCCAGUGCAAAGGAGGCAGGAUGCUGACUUUGCAAACAACCCUUCUCCUGGGAGAUGCUGCAGUCCAAAGCUGGGUCGCUGGCUCUGUCACCUGGCUCUGUUCCUUGCAGCAGCUGUGGGAUUCAAGAGAAAUGUAGAAUAAGCGUGCUUGCCAGUAUGACAUGCUGCAGACUUGGGAGAAGAGUUUCCAUUUUGGUCAUGCGAAAGAAUUUGAAACUGCAAUGCAGUGAAAUCCACCCUGGUGGAGCCAAGACCUCCCUGGGAGGCCACAGGGCUGCGUCUGGAGAGCUCCAGGGAGACCCUGGAC
This is a long non-coding RNA of Rhea pennata, 1079 nucleotides long. RefSeq lists it as uncharacterized. NCBI's taxonomy places the organism in Eukaryota, Metazoa, Chordata, Aves, Rheiformes, Rheidae. The record is from RefSeq and is a predicted model, not a curated record. The transcript has 6 exons.